UGAGGAUCACGUGAGAAACGUGCCCCAGACUCUGGGAUAACAAUUGGAAACGAUUGCUAAUACCGGAUGACGUCGGAGAACCGCAUGGUUCACUGACGAAAGAUAUUUCGGUUUGGGAGCGUCUCGCGGCCUAUCAGCUUGUUGGUGGGGUAAUGGCCUACCAAGGCAACGACGGGUAGCUGGUCUGAGAGGAUGAUCAGCCACACUGGGACUGAGACACGGCCCAGACUCCUACGGGAGGCAGCAGUGGGGAAUCUUGCGCAAUGGGCGAAAGCCUGACGCAGCAACGCCGCGUGCGGGAUGAAGGCCUUCGGGCUGUAAACCGCUUUCAGCAGGAACGAAAAUGACGGUACCUGCAGAAGAAGGAGCGGCCAACUACGUGCCAGCAGCCGCGGUGACACGUAGGCUCCAAGCGUUGUCCGGAUUUAUUGGGCGUAAAGAGCUCGUAGGCGGUUGAGUAAGUCGGGUGUGAAAACUCUGGGCUUAACCCGGAGACGCCAUCCGAUACUGCUCUGACUAGAGUUCAGGAGGGGAGUGGGGAAUUCCUAGUGUAGCGGUGAAAUGCGCAGAUAUUAGGAGGAACACCGGUGGCGAAGGCGCCACUCUGGACUGAAACUGACGCUGAGGAGCGAAAGCAUGGGUAGCAAACAGGAUUAGAUACCCUGGUAGUCCAUGCCGUA
RNAcentral lists this ribosomal RNA (680 nucleotides) under uncultured bacterium. RNAcentral describes it as "bacterial SSU rRNA". It matches the Rfam family "Bacterial small subunit ribosomal RNA", at positions 107 to 804 of the family's 1533-position model. The record is from RNAcentral.